RNA transcript from Mandrillus leucophaeus (drill), 1614 nucleotides. It is a transcript of the gene named 28S ribosomal protein S22, mitochondrial pseudogene, with no coding region annotated. The transcript has a single exon. The record is from RefSeq and is a predicted model, not a curated record. Lineage: Eukaryota; Metazoa; Chordata; Mammalia; Primates; Cercopithecidae.
AUGGCGCCCCUCAGAACCACUGUGUCGCUGUGGAGCCUCCUGAGGGGUUCUGCAGGUGUGGAAAGGGUCUGUUUCUGGGCUCGAAUCCAGCCCUGGCAUGGUGGCCUGCUCCAACCGCUACCUUGCUCUUUCGAGGUGGGGCUGCCACGCUGCUGGUCAGCUCCGAGGCCGCAGAAUCUGGUAGCCCAGAUACCAAGAAACCUACAUUUAUGGAUGAAGAAGUUCAAAGCAUACUCAUGAAAAUGACAGGCUUGAACUUGCAGAAGACUUUUAAACCAGCUGUACAAGAACUGAAGCCACCAACCUAUAAGCUAAUAACUCAGGCACAAUUGGAAGAGGCUACAAGACAGGCAGUUGAGGCAGCUAAAGUACGAUUAAAAAUGCCACCGGUUCUGGAAGAGCGAGUACCAAUAAAUGAUGUGUUAGCUGAAGAUACGAUUUUGGAAGGAACAGAAACAACCAAAUAUAUGUUUACUGAUAUAUCAUAUAGCAUACCACACCGGGAGCGUUUUAUUGUCAUUAGAGAACCAAGUGGCACACUACGCAAAGCCUCUUGGGAAGAACGGGACCGGAUGAUGCAAGUUUAUUUCCCAAAAGAAGGUCGUAAAGUUUUGACACCAAUAAUUUUCAAGGAGGAAAAUCUUAGGACUAUGUAUAGCCAGGACAGGCAUGCUGAUGUCCUCAAUCUCUGCUUUGCCCAGUUUGAGCCAGAUUCCGCUGAGUAUAUCAAGGUUCAUCACGAGACCUAUGGAAGAUAUAGAUAAACACGGAAAAUAUGACCUUUUACGUUCAACAAGAUACUUUGGUGGAAUGGUGUGGUAUUUUGUAAAUAAUAAAAAGAUUGAUGGUUUGCUGAUUGACCAGAUUCAGAGAGAUUUAAUCGAUGACGCAACCAGCUUGGUCCAGCUGUAUCACAUACUCCAUCCAGACGGCCAGUCGGCUCGAGAGGACAAGGAUCAGGCUGCUGAGGGAAUAAAUUUAAUCAAGGUCUUUGCAAAAACAGAAGCACAGAAGGGAGCCUAUGUAGAACUAACACUGCAAACUUAUCAAGAAGCACUCAGUCGCCAUUCUGCAGCUUCCUAAAAAUAUUUUUAAAAUACAUUUAUUUUACUAAAUACUGACUACAUUUCUCUGUUAAUAUUGAGCUAAACGUUAAAAAAUGACCGGAUUAAAAGGUAUCAAUUUGUAGUUCUCCCUACAAAGCAAAAAUUGUUACCCUAUUCACUUUUCUAGGCUACAAGGGUAUUUGAGUGCCUGGUUAUGAAUUUCUUGAAUCAUGUUAGAUGAGUGUACAGUUAAAAAGUAUGGUUUUUUUUGUGUGUGUGUUACCAAAUAAGGUAAAUGGUAAUUUAGACAGACCCCAGCUUAAUGAGGUCAGAGGAACAGAGGUUUCACAUCCUGACUCCAGAAAUGGGUAGCUGCUAGAUAAAAUUGGAGCAAGACCUGUGGAAUGAUGCAAUGAGGUCAAGAAAAAGAGUUUAGAGAAUUACAGCAUGGAUGUUCAGCUCUAAGAAAAAUGUGAUUGACAGCAUUUGAAAAUGCAGAUUUAGUUAUGCAAAGAAAAGAGAGUGGGGCUGAUCCCUAGGCAAGGUGUAGUUUCGGCUCAGCCUUCUA